RNAcentral lists this transfer-messenger RNA (400 nucleotides) under Chryseobacterium koreense. RNAcentral describes it as "Kaistella koreensis Standard tmRNA". It matches the Rfam family "transfer-messenger RNA". Rfam says of the family: Bacterial tmRNA, also known as 10Sa RNA or SsrA, is named for its dual tRNA and mRNA-like properties. Lineage: Bacteria; Pseudomonadati; Bacteroidota; Flavobacteriia; Flavobacteriales; Weeksellaceae. The record is from RNAcentral. RNAcentral also lists the same sequence under 1 other name.
GGGGCAGACUGGUUUCGACAGCAAGACCAAUGGAUAAGUAAGCAUGCAGAGAACCGUGGCGCGAUCUCUUUAAUCCCUUGCUACAAAAUUUUAACUGGCAACCAAGAGUUCGCUCUCGCUGCUUAAUCUGAAUCAUAGUAGGAUUAGCGUUUUUCCCGAAGCACAGUAAGGAAACGAGAUAUCCCGCAGAAGUUCUGUUUCGCGACGUCUGAUCACGGGGUAUAGCAAUGCGGAAAUAAGUCCCGAGAGUCUUCGAUUCGGGAACGAAAACCUCAGAAGAUAAGCGCAAAGUUGGCUGUCCGCUGUCUGCUUUGCGACGAAAACCAAGAACGGAAUAAGCAUGUAGAAAUCUUAUGUGUUGCUUGUUUGGACGAGGGUUCGAAUCCCUCCUGCUCCACUA